Molecule: long non-coding RNA, 1287 nt
Filed under: Sorghum bicolor (sorghum)
Lineage: Eukaryota; Viridiplantae; Streptophyta; Magnoliopsida; Poales; Poaceae
Description: long non-coding RNA (SBIC_LNC017825)
Source: RNAcentral
AGUGCUGGAUCAGAAGUUAUUGUAACGCCUUUAAAAAUUGACGGUACACAUGCUUUUAAAUGAGGUCUCGUCUCUGAGUUAGAGUAAACUGUCAAGACUUAAAACUUACUUAUUUUACCUUUCACCAUGGGACUUGUAACCAUCACUUCUGUCUUGAGUAGUUAAAAGAUAGAACAGUCUAGUCAAGUGCCAUGUCUCAUAUUCUUGAUCAGCUAUAGCUCUGGAGUUUUUGCAGAUUUUCAAAUAAAACUCAGAGAUUCCUUGUAUGACUCUCUUAGAUCUCUCUUUUGUGGUAUUUCUGGAUCCUUACCAAGGCAGUGAUGGUAUAUGCCUUCUCUCAAGUAUGUAGUAUUUGUGGUAUAAGGCAUAAUGACAUUGCCUUCUCUCUCAUCCUACUCUAAUAAGGCUUUGAUAUCUAGAGCUCAUAGGUGGGACAUACUUACAAGACAUUUAUUGUAUAGUCAAACCAUGGAUCCAAAGAAAUAAGUCAAUAAGUCAAAUCAAUAUGUGCAUGUGUGGCGAAUGAAUGGUAUAUGGUGAUGAUGGUGACAACAAUGGUGAAAGACUAAUUCUACUUGUGCUCUUUGAGGGGAUACAUACCUUCCUUGCUCUUUGGAACUUUUUGAUGAGAAUGAGAUGCUCUAUCUUUUAUUUUUCCUCUCAGGUGGGUAUUUUGUACCCCUAAUUCUACUGUCGGACACUUGUCCCUUUUUACCCCUCGUCUCACUUUUUUCUUUUCUUUCGAGGUUCUGGGCACUUGCCCCUUUUUAUUUCCUCGUUUCUUUUCUCUCUUUUUUUAGAGCACUCAUCUCCUGAAAUAAUAUAGCAAGUGGUAGUAACCAAGAUAACUUGAGCAUUUAUUUCACAGGGGAAAACAGAAAUGUUUUUGGCUAUUCUCUCCCAGAUUAGGAGUAGAAUAUUUUUGGGUGGUUCUGGAGAUGGAAAUGAGUGGAUAUAUGUGGAUGCGUACUUCCGAGGUAGAAGUAGCAUGUGUGAAUGAACGUGCAAGUGAAUUUUGAUUUAACCACAUGACAAGCUCCUAAGGGUCUACACAGCUUGACCACACUCAAUGCUCAUAAGUAGUAAAAAGUAAAUGUGUGGCUCAAAGUCUAGCAAGCAUGUAUAUAUGGCUGUGGUAGGAAUUUAAACUCUCAUCAUACAGGAACUCAUCAUGUAAUAUUUUAAAGAUUUUUCAAAGGCAAAAUUCUCCAGAAUUCUAGCAUCUCUAGAAAUAGAUAAACAGCAGCUCAACCUUCCCAUAUCAUAUCCGUUAACAACUUAGACUUC